CCUACGGGGGGCAGCAGUGAGGAAUAUUGGUCAAUGGUCGGGAGACUGAACCAGCCAAGCCGCGUGAGGGAGGAAGGUACAGAGGAUCGUAAACCUCUUUUGUCAGGGAACAAAGACUGUGACGCGUCCCCGGAUGAGUGUACCUGAAGAAAAAGCAUCGGCUAACUCCGUGCCAGCAGCCGCGGUAAUACGGAGGAUGCGAGCGUUACCCGGAUUGAUUGGGGUUAAAGGGUGCGCAGGCGGUCUGGUAAGUCAGGGGUCAAAGCCCGGGGCUCAACCCCGGCCCGGCCGUUGAAACUGGCAGUCUCGAGUUGGAGAGAGGUAUGCGGAAUGCGCGGUGUAGCGGUGAAAUGCAUAGAUAUCGCGCAGAACACCGGUUGCGAAGGCAGCAUGCCGGCUCCACACUGACGCUGAGGCACGAAAGCGUGGGUAUCGAACAGGAUUAGAUACCCGAGUAGUC
RNAcentral lists this ribosomal RNA (460 nucleotides) under uncultured bacterium. Its description in RNAcentral is "partial 16S ribosomal RNA". It matches the Rfam family "Bacterial small subunit ribosomal RNA", at positions 338 to 795 of the family's 1533-position model. The record is from RNAcentral.